This 368-nucleotide ribosomal RNA is filed under the name uncultured organism. RNAcentral's name for it is "bacterial LSU rRNA". It matches the Rfam family "Bacterial large subunit ribosomal RNA", at positions 2099 to 2465 of the family's 2925-position model. The record is from RNAcentral.
CUUUACUGUAGCCUGGAAUUGGCUUCGGGCUUCGCUUGCGCAGGAUAGGUGGGAAGCGUUGAAAGUCCCCUCGUGGGGGGGCUGGAGCUAACGGUGAGAUACCACUCUGGCGAGGCUAGAAUUCUAACCCUGACCCGUUAUCCGGGCGGGAGACAGUUUCAGGUGGGCAGUUUGACUGGGGCGGUCGCCUCCUAAAAGGUAACGGAGGCGCGCAAAGGUUCCCUCGGUCCCGUUGGAAAUGGGACGAUAGAGUGCAAAAGCAGAAGGGGGCUUGACUGUGAGACCUACAAGUCGAACAGGGACGAAAGUCGGCUUUAGUGAUCCGACGGCACCGCGUGGAAGGGCCGUCGCUCAACGGAUAAAAGUUA